Molecule: long non-coding RNA, 1753 nt
Organism: Daphnia pulicaria
Lineage: Eukaryota; Metazoa; Arthropoda; Branchiopoda; Diplostraca; Daphniidae
Exons: 10
Source: RefSeq, a predicted model, not a curated record
AAAGAAAUAUUUUUCGAUGGUGUGAUCUUCUCCAUUGGCUAAAAAAAUUAAAAAUCCCGACAAACACUUCCUGCCGCCACGUCCGAAAAUCUCUCCCAAUAAACAGCUGCAACUGCCAUAUGGCUUUUCUUUCUUUGAGAAAGCAGAGUAAAUGAACUGCCGCUACUUACAGUCAUGCACACCCUUUGGCUUCUUGAGCACAGCCGCAUCGCUGCAAUUUUGUACACGGUGGUUCCGAGACAGACGAAUGAGUUUUACUUUCAACAUGCCCGGCGAAUUGUUAUUGCUGAAAUGCAACACAUAAUUUACAAUGAAUACUUGCCCGUCAUAAUUGUUCCUAUGAUGGCUGCCAAAGUUGCGUUGGGAAAUGGCUAUUUAAAUACUGGAAAUCCGGCGAUAUUUACCGAGAUCUUCAUUGCCGCCUUCCGCAAGGGCCACUCUCAAUUGAAAAGCUUCAUACGACUGUUUGAGAGAGACGGAAGUUUCAGCAGAGAUAGUAACCAACUUAUCAGCUCUCAGAUUCGUUCGAUAACUCCUCCCGGCUUUUUGGAUCCAAUUUCGUGGAUAAGGCUCUUCGGGGCCUCCUUCAUGUACCUGCCGAAGAAGUGGACAGCUCUUUUGCUUUCGACAUCACAAGUCAACUUGUUAAGCCAAAAGGAGUACACUUGGACUGGAUCUGACAGCUCUCAACAUUCAACGAGGAAGAGAUCAACGGCCUGCCAACAUACGCUAAAAUGCUGGCUUUCUUCGGAAAACCUUUGCCGUCUAGUUUCGACCAACUGCUUUCUUAUAUACCAAUCGAAGUCGUCAACGCUAUGAAGUUCGUGUACGAGUCAGUGUACGACAUUGACCUGUUUAUUGGCGGAGUGACCAAAUAGGCGAAUACCCAAUAACCGACGCUGUGCUCGGCCCCACAUUCGCCGAUAUCUUCGCCUUUCAAUUUUCGAAUCUGAGGCGGAGUGAUCGUUUCUUUUACAAAUUCAAUGUCGAUCAACCCACCAGCUUCAGAUCAGGUCAACUGGCAGAAAUUCAAAAAGUCUCUUUGGCGCGCAUUAUAUGUGACAAAAGCGAUGUCAUCCAACCCAAAGCUUUCCGCACUCCCCACGAGAUUCAAUUAAUAUUUGGAUUUUGGAUGAUGUUCGAGCUGUCUGAAAAAGUAAAAAUCUGUCUCCCUGUCUGUCUGGAACGGGAAGCAGUCCAGCCCAGUCCUGCCGUUCAUUAUGCUGCGAGUAAUCUGUCGACUGUCACUAGGUGGCUAAAACCUAAAAUUAUGUCCACCAGAUGGCGAUGAGUCCAUCGGUUAGCGAGUGACAAUUGUCGCCAUUUUCUCCCGAGACGAAGAGCGAGUGUGAUUCUGAAUGGAAAUCGUUGUGAUGUACGGCAAAUUGAAAAGCCUAGUAUUUCUAUUUCGCUUGGAGCAGCUAUGGUACAUUUUUCCCAAAUGUUGUUAAUGAUGUCUUUUCCCUGUACGGUCCCUGCACCUGCUGCACGUUUUGGUCAAAAAAACUUCAGAACAAUUAAAGCUAACAGCCUGCAAAAGUCUGAGCUCCUUUGUUGCUGCCCCUUAUGCACACAGGUAUUUGAUGCAGCCAGCUGGUUAAGGAAUGUUCCUCUUGCUACUUGUACCUGUAGUCCUGUACUGCUUUUUGAACAUAGUUUCUAGUUCUUUUAACUAUGUUGGUACGACCAACAAUUGUGUAGCUUUUUAUUUGCAGAAAUUUUCUGAAUCAAUAAUAAAAUAAGAUAAGGUUAA